UACGAAGGGGGCUAGCGUUGUUCGGAUUUACUGGGCGUAAAGCGCACGUAGGCGGAUCGUUAAGUCAGGGGUGAAAUCCUGGAGCUCAACUCCAGAACUGCCUUUGAUACUGGCGAUCUUGAGUCCGGAAGAGGUGAGUGGAACUCCUAGUGUAGAGGUGGAAUUCGUAGAUAUUAGGAAGAACACCAGUGGCGAAGGCGGCUCACUGGUCCGGUACUGACGCUGAGGUGCGAAAGCGUGGGGAGCGAACAGG
Molecule: ribosomal RNA, 253 nt
Filed under: uncultured bacterium
Lineage: Bacteria
Description: partial 16S ribosomal RNA
Rfam family: Bacterial small subunit ribosomal RNA
Source: RNAcentral